Molecule: long non-coding RNA, 1016 nt
Filed under: Heterocephalus glaber (naked mole-rat)
Lineage: Eukaryota; Metazoa; Chordata; Mammalia; Rodentia; Bathyergidae
Description: lncRNA (ENSHGLG00000037796.1)
Source: RNAcentral
CGGGAGGUCUAGGGGGCGGUGCAGCUGGGCCUCAGGCAGUCAUGGGACCCUUAGAAGGGGGAGGUGGAUGGCACAGGCUUAGAGAGACUUCAGGACGCCACGCCGGGGCUGCUGGCUUUCAGAUGGGCUCAGGGAGCCCAGGAGCCUGCGGAAGUGCAGAAGCUGGAAAAGGCAGGGGAAUGACUUUCCCUGGGGCCUCGGAGACAUUGCUCUGCUGGGAUUUGAACUCCAGGAAGCCCAUUUCGGACUUCAGCCUCCACGCAGGUGCUGUCAUCAUAGAGAACCAAAGCCCAGAGACAGUGGUAAACCUACCAGGGUGUCAUACCCAAGGACUGGCAGAGCUGGGAUUCUGUGUCCCGGCCGGGUUUGUCCCAGGGCCGGCUCCCAGGACGGGAAGAUGUGCGGCUCUGUGGUGCCCGCAGACUGCUCACAUCGGCACAGGGUUGGAGCCACGUUCUCUACACCCAAGUCUUCCGGCCCUCUAUCACUGUCGGAUUCUGUUGUGCCUUUGGCUUGGUGCCUGAGCUGCCCCCAAUCCCCAUGCUGCGCCUCGGUGAGGGCGGAUCUUGCACAUGGGGUCUGCAGCCCGCACAGAGCGCUGAUUGAGUCUUCAAGGUCGGGGUGCACCUGGCCAGCUCUCUCGCUUCUUUCCAUGCAGUGAGUAAGAUGCAGCCAGACUCUGUGCCCUGCACAGGAACCCAGAGACAAGCCUCACUUCCGGUCUCACUGAGCUCACAGUCUUCAGGGGGAAGCAGGCAAAGGAGCAGUUAAAUCUAGGAAUGAGAAAUGCCUGCACAGUAGUAAGCAUGAGACAAGGCAGAGAAGCCCAGGAUGGACAGGAGUCAUCUGAGAAGGUCCUUCAGGAGCCUGGGCUGGAUGUGAAGGGAUGAGUGGGCUUACUUGUACAGAAGAAAGGAGAGACUGUCAAAGCCCUGGGAUCAGCAUGUACAAAGACACGUACAAAGGAGAAAAUGCCUACACACUGUCAUAAUAAGAUUAAGGAUAUCAAAUUAAAU